UAGGGAAUCUUCCGCAAUGGACGCAAGUCUGACGGAGCAACGCCGCGUGAGUGAAGAAGGAUUUCGGUUCGUAAAACUCUGUUGUUAGAGAAGAACAGCGCAUAGAGUAACUGUUAUGCGUGUGACGGUAUCUAACCAGAAAGCCACGGCUAACUACGUGCCAGCAGCCGCGGUAAUACGUAGGUGGCAAGCGUUGUCCGGAUUUAUUGGGCGUAAAGCGAGCGCAGGCGGUCAAUUAAGUCUGAUGUGAAAGCCCCCGGCUCAACCGGGGAGAGUCAUUGGAAACUGGUUGACUUGAGUGCAGAAGAGGAGAGUGGAAUUCCAUGUGUAGCGGUGAAAUACAUAGAUAUAUGGAGGAACACCAGUGGCGAAGGCGACUCUCUGGUCUGUAACUGACGCUGAGGCUCGAAAGCGUGGGUAGCAAACAGG
RNAcentral lists this ribosomal RNA (429 nucleotides) under Bacteroidota bacterium. Its description in RNAcentral is "Bacteroidetes bacterium partial 16S ribosomal RNA". It matches the Rfam family "Bacterial small subunit ribosomal RNA", at positions 355 to 776 of the family's 1533-position model. The record is from RNAcentral. Lineage: Bacteria; Pseudomonadati; Bacteroidota.